This is a long non-coding RNA of Trifolium pratense (red clover), 502 nucleotides long. RefSeq lists it as uncharacterized. Lineage: Eukaryota; Viridiplantae; Streptophyta; Magnoliopsida; Fabales; Fabaceae. The transcript has 2 exons. The record is from RefSeq and is a predicted model, not a curated record.
UCAUAACCCGACCCAUAUAUUGAGAUUAUUAGGGUUCCGCGUUUUAGCACUAUAAAUACCCAAACGAGGAUUUUGUAUUCUCAGAUUCAGUUCUCUGCUGCGGAGGAAAAUUGCCACUGUUUCUUGAGAGCGUAGCGUUUAUCAAUCAUCCAACAUGAGAGCCAAGUGGAAGAAGAAGCGCAUGAGGAGGUUGAAGAGGAAGCGCCGAAAGAUGAGACAGAGAUCUAAGUAGGUGCAUGGGCAGGAGACUAGCUUUCCAUCUUGCUUGAUGGCUUCAUGACAUUUUAGCCAGUUCUGGUGUAAUGAUCUCGAGGUUUGAUUGAGAGGGGAAGUUUCUAUCGAGACAUAGUUUAGCUGUGUUGGUCUAAGACAAUCUUUUUUGAGUGUUUUGUAGUAUCAGUGCAUGUACUGGUUUGGUAUACUUACUGAUAUUUAUAUUUAUGUCUUAUAUAUAAGCAUUUUAAGACUUGCAUGAAAAUGUUAUCCUUCUAUUUAUGCUUCA